AACUGAUACUACCUGCGGGAACCUGCGGAGGGAUCAUUACAGAGUUCGUGCCCUCACGGGUAGAUCUCCCACCCUUUGUGUAUCUCGUGUUUUUGUUGCUUCGGCAGGCCGUUAGUUCGUCUAACCACCGGCUCUCUGGCUGGUGCGCGCCUGCCGGAGGAUCUCCCAAACUCUUGUUUGUCAGUGUCGUCUGAGUACUAUAACAAUCGUUAAAACUUUCAGCAAUGGAUCUCUAGAUCG
Molecule: unclassified non-coding RNA, 240 nt
Filed under: soil metagenome
Description: partial contains 5.8S ribosomal RNA, internal transcribed spacer 2, and large subunit ribosomal RNA
Source: RNAcentral